UACAGAGGGUGCGAGCGUUGUUCGGAAUUAUUGGGCGUAAAGGGCGCGUAGGCGGUGCGGUAAGUCACCUGUGAAAUCUCCUGGCUCAACUGGGAGCUUGCAGGCGAAACUGCCGUGCUGGAGUGUGGGAGAGGUGCGUGGAAUUCCUGGUGUAGCGGUGAAAUGCGUAGAUAUCAGGAGGAACACCUGUGGCGAAAGCGGCGCACUGGACCACAACUGACGCUGAUGCACGAAAGCUAGGGGGAGCAAACAGG
This 254-nucleotide ribosomal RNA is filed under the name uncultured bacterium. RNAcentral describes it as "partial 16S ribosomal RNA". It matches the Rfam family "Bacterial small subunit ribosomal RNA", at positions 524 to 776 of the family's 1533-position model. The record is from RNAcentral.